RNAcentral lists this long non-coding RNA (5449 nucleotides) under Homo sapiens (human). RNAcentral describes it as "HSALNT0399735". The record is from RNAcentral. Lineage: Eukaryota; Metazoa; Chordata; Mammalia; Primates; Hominidae.
ACUACCUAUAAAAUAAACAGAAACAUUCUGAUUUGUUUCUUUGAGGCAGCAAUAGAGAAAUAGCUGCACUAACAGGAUAAGAAGCCGAAAAGAAACAAAUAUUUUCUAUUCAGAUGGUGUUAAAAUGUGGUCAUCAAAGCUAGGGAUCCUUGUAUUUUUCUUCAGCUGCAUGAGCAAGUCUCUUUGCCUUCCUGGGGUUUAAUUUUCUCAUCCAGAAAAUAAGAAACUUAAACUAGGUUAUUUCUAAGCGUGCUUCCAGCUUCAAAUGUAUGUAAUAUCUAAUAAUUUGUUUAGUAGGUGCUUUCUGUAGUGGUGCUAGGUGCUGUUCCUGACACCUGGCUUGACACCAACCUCAAGAAGAGAUUAUGCCUGGAAAAUUGAAAGCGGUGUGAAGACACUUUGUCUGGACACCCAGGAGAUGCAGCACAAACUGCCUUUGAAGAUGACGAACUGCCUCACUCUUGGGAGUACAGCACUUUUAAGAAAUGCUUGGACCUAAAAAGCUGUCAAAUUGGAAGUCAUCUAGGCUAGGUUGCAGCUUUUCAGCUCUGUUCAGGAGGAGAAUCUCUUUACGACAUUAAAAAAUGACUUUGCAAAACGUUGGCCAGCGCAGAAGCUUAUUGAAUUUAUUUACCUUUUCAGAGUUUCCCUUUAAGCACUACUUUUGCCUCAUCCUACAAAUUUUGGUGGCUGUGGACCUGGCAAAAACUACAUUUCCCAGCAUCCACUUCAUCUGAGUGCGACCAUAUGACACAAUUCUGCCCCAUGAGGAGUAAGUGGAAGGUUCUGGACAGAACUGCUGCAAAGGAGUUUUCAGAUUCGGUUUUGCCAUUUGCCUUUCUCUCUUCCACUUUGUCCUGCCUGAAAUGAGGAAACAAGGCUUGACGUGAAAUGAGGCGGCUGGCAGGCCUGAGGAUGGAGGCUGUAGUCUAAGCGUGGCUGACUGGACAGAUGGUGGGCUUAGGUCCCUGAUAGUAUUAUGGAGCUAUCACGCUGGUCCUGGAAUGGUGACCUCCAUAUGUCUUUUACUGUUAUCAUUAAUCUUAAUGUUAACAUUGACAAUGCUGCAGUACCAGUAGCAAUGUGCCCUCUUGGGAUUUUAAUUUCUGAGUUGUGAUGACCCAGAAAAUUAUAAAGGUUUUGCCAUUGAAAGUAAUGGCAAAAACCGCCAUUACUUUUGCACCAACCAAAUACUAUCACAAUUGCAAGAGGUUUUUCCUCACCAAAAGGAACCAGCAUUCCUUGGACAAAUGGAUUGAGUGCAGAGCUUGGGCGGGGAAGGCACAGAUGAAUUUGGGAUACUUUCCUGCAACAAGAAGCAAGGAAGCUUUCGAUGAUUAACAGGGUACUCUUGAAAGAACACAGGAGUCAGCUUGACAGGCCCCCAUUGCUCACAGAUCAGAGAAUUUGGACAAAAAGAUUGUACUUGACUGAUGUACACUGAAUCUAUCAAAAUCCAUAAGGAUACUCAUGAAGGAGAGAAAUCCAGAAAACCUACUGUUACCAUUUGAGGUAGGUAUUAUAAAACUCCUUCCUUUGCAAAUUGGUAUUAAAAAGAAAGAAAGGUUUUCAGAGGAAGCAAUGUUUGAACUGAAAUAAAAAAGGCUUGUAAACGUACAGCAGAUGCAUCAGGUUAAGAGAACAGGGAGCUGGGGAGGGGUUCAGGAGCUUUGCAAUCUUGGUGAAGGAGUCUCUCAGGUCUGACAGAGCUGUGGUUUAUAGAUCCAAAGGGUUUCAGAGCUGAAAUGUGGUGAGAGUAACGAUCAGAGACACCUGCUGUUUUCAUAUGAAAUAACAGAGUUAAAUAUUAUACACAUCGGGCCCAACGCACAGUCUUAGCCCACCAGCCUUUGGUCUGACAGCCUUCUAUCACACUGCGCUGUGACUUGUCCACUAGGCUACCACUUCUCUGGUAGCAUCCUCUGGGGCACUUGGAGGUUUGCUGAAGCUACAUGGUGCUGGGAUCUCAUCCCUCCUUCCUCAUUCUCAUCAGCUGGCCCUGGAUGCCCUUGGGAAAGCUCUGCUGAGAUGAAUCAAGAAGAGAAAACCUCUCAUCUUUAGGCUGGGUGCAGUUUUUCUCAGAUGACAAAUCCACACGUUUUAAUCACUUGUGUCCUUUAUACUGAGUACAUCCUGGUCCAACACCAAGAAUGUCCAAUCACUGCCUCCAGCCACUGCAUAGCUGGCGUUGCUCAUCGUGGCUGUGUUUGUGACCAAGGUGGAUGGCCAUAGCCACAUCUAGGGUCAGAGUGGUCAGAAUGGCCAGAGUCCCCCAGCUGGUCAUUUGACACAGGCAGAUGAAUACAAAAGAGAGGGAGUGAGGUUUUUUGGACAACCAAGCCACAGGGCAAAUUAGGAUGAGCACUACAAUAGGAGGAAGAUAAAGCUAUGGAAAUGAGUGAUGCAUCCUCUUUUGGAAAAAAUGUGCUAAGCAUCAUUGUCCCAGUCUGCAAAUAGCCACCUGCCCUAUUCUGCAAACACCAACCAAGGACUGGAAUCUGAAGAACAGGGUUGAUUUCACCACUUUCAGAACCUCCAGAAGAGGCACAAAUCAGUAACAAAUUGUGGCUGUCUAGGAAAGUUUAGUACUUUUUCUCUUUAAGGCAAAAACUGGUAACUAUUCCCCAGAUUAACACAAUCAGGCAGACUUCUUGAAGGCAGACUGGCUGGCAAAUUUCUGAAAGGCAAAGAACAGGCCCUGUCUUCAGUCUCCAAACUCCCUCCUCCUUCCCCCAGUUUCACAAGCUCAGGGGGCAACAAAUAAGUACUAGUUGAUGAUAAUGAUGGCUAAAGUUAUCAUUGGGUAACGAGGGCCUAGUUAGAUUUUAUUUUAAUUAGGCUCAGGCUACAGGCCUCAUUACCCCUAAUGUGGCUUUUAUGUGGGAUUCUAAAGAAAAACAAAAAAACCCUAGGAAUCUUCUACUGAAGAUAUUAAAGAAGAUAUUAUUAGCAAUGCAUUUGGUCUCAUAGACUUUGAACAACAAACAACAGAGAUUAUAAUUAAUGUCACUACAGCCUCUCUCCUUAAAACAAACUAACAAUAUAGUUAAUUAGCAAUAUAUCCUCAUUUGGGGCUGGACAUCUGCAUAUUAUUAUCGACAAUGCUUGUUUCCUUUUUCCAGAUGAAAGGAAGCCAUACUGCACCCAGGCACAUGGCUGUGCGCCUUCCACAUUCAAACACUCCAUUUUCUUCUACCCACAAUAAACACACUCGGGGCUUUAUCUGUGCCGAGCAUCGAUUUUGUCUGGAACAGUUCCACACAUCUAAAAAUAAGUUCAAGAAUGCCACUAGUGGUAUUUCAAAGGGAAGAGCAAAAGUUUUGCCAUUUGAAGAGAUAAAAGAAGAAAAUGGCACACUGAUUAUCUUUAACAUGAUUGAGGAGCAAGCACUCCUAAGAUGAGAAAACCAGGAGAAUGAAUAAAGUGAGUUUUAGACCAUAAAAUCGGCUUUCUAGAAGGGGCACACUUGUUCUUAGUGCUCAGGAAGAUGGAUGGAGACCACGAUCCUAGGAGUGGAAGCAGGGGGUGGUGGGGGGCUUGUUGGGACUUAUUCUGAGAAGUGUUGGAAAGAGGCAGCCAGGAUGCACUGGGGAAAAACUGCACUGUGAAGACACAGAUGACAAGGCUGACCAGCUGCUGCUCUCAUGAAGCCUGUGUAUGAUGGCAAUCAUUCCCCUUCAGGCAGCAGGAACAGAGCAAAUGUCAAUGGCCGUAUUUUAUAGCAAGCAUGACAGUGCAAUGCCCCUUUAGGAACUAUUGCUGGCAGAGGGGAAACGGCCAUACGUAUGCUUCAGUCUUUGCUGGGCACUCUGACGACAGCCCUGAGAGCCAGUGACACAGGUACAUCAUGGGCUCAAGAAUUCAGGAGGGUCUCAGUCCUGGUUUGGGAAUGGAGCCUGCUGUCACGGUCUGACUAAUAGCUGAGGAAUCCCUAGUUAUGGCGGCAGAAUGUAUCAUAACGAUGUUUACUUUAGGGCUUGGCAGUGACCUCGUUUAUUAUCUCAGGCUUUAGAAGAAAUGAAGAAUGGGCAACUCUUUGCAUUUGGGUAGGGAGCUGGCUUUGAGGUGGAGGGGCCACCCAUCCCUGUGUAUCUCUCCUCAUUGAAGGUUCUUGGGGCCGGCUGACAAAAUGGAGAUCAACACUUCACUGGUGUGUCUUGAAUACUUCUGUAAACUGCUUUGAUCUUGAAAAUGUGCAGAUUAUUGGUGAAUUUUUUCAAGUUGUGCUUUCUCCAUUGCUGGCAAAGAAAACAGAGUGGUAGCUUUUCCAGGACCGAUUUCUUUUAUGUCCUGUUAGGCUAAAGAAUGAACUGAAAUGAAGGAUAAAUUAUUCUUUCAAGUGUAAGAAAACAUGUAAGAAGCAGAGUACACGAGUGGAAAGUGAGUUAGGCCAAAAAAAAAAAGAAAAAGAAAAACAAACCCUUCACACAUCACCUAAAACAUCCCUGCAAAUGUAGAGAGAUGGAGAAAUCAUACUUUCCAGAACCACUUUGAUAAAGCCCUUGUGGUGUGAGGCCAGCCAUCCUCAGCAUCCAGUUAAGGGCAAGGCUUUCUAUCAGCCUUCCAGGCUGCAGCUAACCAGCUCAGGGCUAUAAAGGCCAGGCCACCAGUGGCCACCAGGGGGCUUCCAUCCCUCCUCUUCAGCCCUGUUAGAGUUCAGCCACCCCUUUAAGUCAAACUUUGAGCAAAUAUUUAAUGAGUGUGGAUUAUUGGUGAUUUUCCAAGUUGUGCUUUCUCCAUUACCGGCAAAGAAAACAGAGUGGUAACUGUCUAGGACUCGGUUUCCAGGACCCAAUUUGAAGAGGCACCAGAUCAUUAGUGCACCUAAAAGGCCCAAGUAUCUAAGUCCUCCUACGACCAGAGGGAACGGGUGUCGAACAGGACACCAGAAGGCGAACAUCUCCUGCAGUGAUUCUGUGUCUCCCUGCAUAGAAUGAGGGGAUAUAAGGCCCAGGCCAAGGCUGGUGUUCUGUUGGUGAGAGGGAGAACCUGGAAAUUAAGCCAAAGGACAUGGAUGGCAGAGUUCAGAAGCUGAGGUCUGGGGUAGGGGUGGCCUAGGGACCCUUGCCAAGUUAUUAUCCUAAUUAAGGAGAUGGAUUCUUCUCAACACUAAAGUUAAGAACCCUCAUUGAAACCUAUUGCUAAUCUCUCUGCUCCAAGUACUUCUAAAAUGGGUUUCAAAGGUCAUUGGACGUUAACCUUGGAAUCCUGAAAAGGGUUCAGGGUACUGUGGAAAGGACUGGGGCCAGGAGUUUCAAGGUCUGGGUCUGGGUCCCAGCAUUGCCUCUUCCUGUUUUGUGAGCUUUGGUAAGUUAUUGCACCUCUGCACUUAUGGUAGACUGGUUGGCAAAAAUGUCCACAAAUUCUUCUUUUCUCUAAAGAUCCACGCCUCAGGUAGUUGCUUCCACACUCUUUGAGCUUCUUUUUUCUUUUUUUUUUUUUUGAGACA